GAUGAACGCUAGCGGGAGGCCUAACACAUGCAAGCCGAGCGGUAUUUGUUGGUUAGCUUGCUAACUAACAAUGAGAGCGGCGUACGGGUGCGUAGCACGUGUGCAACCUGCCUUUAUCUGGGGGAUAGCCUUUCGAAAGGAAGAUUAAUACCCCAUAACAUAUUGAUUGGCAUCAGUUAAUAUUGAAAGCUCCGGCGGAUAGAGAUGGGCACGCGUAAGAUUAGCUAGUUGGUGAGGUAACGGCUCACCAAGGCUGCGAUCUUUAGGGGGCCUGAGAGGGUGAUCCCCCACACUGGUACUGAGACACGGACCAGACUCCUACGGGAGGCAGCAGUGAGGAAUAUUGGACAAUGGGUGAGAGCCUGAUCCAGCCAUCCCGCGUGAAGGACUAAGGACCUAUGGUUUGUAAACUUCUUUUAUACAGGGAUAAACCUACUCUCGUGAGGGUAGCUGAAGGUACUGUAUGAAUAAGCACCGGCUAACUCCGUG
RNAcentral lists this ribosomal RNA (489 nucleotides) under uncultured bacterium. RNAcentral describes it as "partial 16S ribosomal RNA". It matches the Rfam family "Bacterial small subunit ribosomal RNA", at positions 28 to 507 of the family's 1533-position model. The record is from RNAcentral.